AGAGUUUGAUCCUGGCUCAGAUUGAACGCUGGCGGCAGGCCUAACACAUGCAAGUCGAGCGGAAACGGCAAUAAAGAUUCUUCGGAUGAUUUAUUGGACGUCGAGCGGCGGACGGGUGAGUAAUGCUUAGGAAUUUGCCCAGUCGAGGGGGAUAACUAUUGGAAACGAUAGCUAAUACCGCAUACGCUCCUUUCUGUAAUGGUAAGGAGGAAAGAGGGGGCUCUUCGGACCUCUCGCGAUUGGAUAAGCCUAAGUGAGAUUAGCUAGUUGGUGAGGUAAUAGCUCACCAAGGCGACGAUCUCUAGCUGGUCUGAGAGGAUGAUCACCCACACUGGGACUGAGACACGGCCCAGACUCCUACGGGAGGCAGCAGUGGGGAAUAUUGCACAAUGGGGGAAACCCUGAUGCACCCAUGCCGCGUGUGUGAAGAAGGCCUUCGGGUUGUAAAGCACUUUCAGCAGUGAGGAAGAUGUGUAGAUUAAUACUCUGCACAUUUGACGUUAGCUGCAGAAGAAGCACCGGCUAACUCCGUGCCAGCAGCCGCGGUAAUACGGAGGGUGCGAGCGUUAAUCGGAAUUACUGGGCGUAAAGCGCAUGCAGGUGGUUUGUUAAGUCAGAUGUGAAAGCCCGGGGCUCAACCUCGGAAGGUCAUUUGAAACUGGCAAGCUAGAGUACUGUAGAGGGGGGUAGAAUUUCAGGUGUAGCGGUGA
Molecule: ribosomal RNA, 710 nt
Filed under: uncultured Gammaproteobacteria bacterium
Lineage: Bacteria; Pseudomonadati; Pseudomonadota; Gammaproteobacteria
Description: partial 16S ribosomal RNA
Rfam family: Bacterial small subunit ribosomal RNA
Source: RNAcentral